AGGGGGUUGGCGAAGUCUGGCUCAACGCACUUGCCUUUGACGCAAGCAUACAUCGAUGGUUCGAAUCCAUCACCCCCUUCCA
This 82-nucleotide transfer RNA is filed under the name Gammaproteobacteria bacterium. Its description in RNAcentral is "tRNA-Gln". It matches the Rfam family "tRNA". Rfam says of the family: Transfer RNA (tRNA) molecules are approximately 80 nucleotides in length. Their secondary structure includes four short double-helical elements and three loops (D, anti-codon, and T loops). RNAcentral also lists the same sequence under 1 other name. The record is from RNAcentral. Lineage: Bacteria; Pseudomonadati; Pseudomonadota; Gammaproteobacteria.